Capsicum annuum is the source of this 5462-nucleotide long non-coding RNA. RefSeq lists it as uncharacterized. Lineage: Eukaryota; Viridiplantae; Streptophyta; Magnoliopsida; Solanales; Solanaceae. The transcript is spliced from 6 exons. The record is from RefSeq and is a predicted model, not a curated record.
UACCGUGCUCUAGUAUUUAACAUAUGGAAUGGUCCAGAAUUGUCCUGACCAGAGUUCCUCAAAGUCAAUCCUUCUUCUUCCAGAAACAUCUCCAUGGUUGAAGAAAUCGACCUCUCAACUGAAGGAGACGGUGAGAUGAGGAGAUUAGUUAGCUCAAUCACUUCAAAAAGGCAGAGCUAGAUCAAUUACAUCUGAGCUUGAACAGAUUUCACUAAAGACACUAAAAAGAUCUCACAAGUGCUAUAAGAGCAGAUCGUUUGAAGACUUCUUCAACUCGGGUUUGAUUGAGCCUCUUUGAGAUGGAUACCACUGCAUAAGACUACCAUUAACGAGUUCCAUCUCUACACAACAACCUACAGUACUUUUACAAAAACUUGACUCAAAUCGGCAGUGUGGCGAUAUUUCGGGAUCAUGGAGCAAAGACAAGCUAUUUAUGGGUGACUCAAGACUUGCAGUUCAGCAUCGAGAUCCAAGUACUAGUUGCCGCUGUUGAUGCUGUGAUUAUGUUGACUAGAGUUUGAAGAUAGGAUGGCUAGGAUGCGUGCUACUACUACACGAGAUGAGGACUCUGAGAUUCCACCACCCCAGCUAAUGGUAGUCCAAGGAUCAGUCCAGGAUCUACUAGGGUUUAUUUCUUCUUCACUGCUCAAAGAUGCAUUAGUUUAGCUCUUGGGAUAAGUUGGUGGUGCACCAUUUGAUGUGCUUAAUUUAUGGAUCAGAGUGGUACUGAGGCAGGGUUGCAACCUGCAGUUGUGGCUCUCAGAGUUGAGGUUCCUUAUGUGUGCGUAGUUGCUCAGUCGAUAGGUUGCCCAGCCUGCUAUGUCUAUUGAGAAGUAAAAAUUGUUGGGUAAAUUUUUGCGAUUGACUCCACCUAGGUAUUUUGUGCACUAGACAAGGAUGCUUAUGAGUUCUUAGUUGCUUGUGAGGAUAAUCUCCAUAAUUUGGGCCUAGUUGAGACUCGUGGUAUGGAUUACACUAUUUUUUAGUUGGAUUUGUCAACUCGACAUUGAUGGAGAUGUCAUCUUUAUUCCAGGCCUACUGGAUCUACCUCAUUGAUAUGAAUUUAGUUCUUUAAGUUUUAUUUGGAGGAGUAUAUGCCUCUCAGUAUUAAGAAUCAUCUCUGAGAUCAACUCUCGAGGUUGGAGUAGUGGUCAAUGACUAUUAUGGAGUAUGAGGCUUGAUUUCAUGAGUUGGAUCGGCAUGCUAACUCUAUUUUAUCAAUUGAGUAUGAGAGGAUUCAAUGUUUUGUUCAAGGAUUAAGAAUUCCUUUUCAUAUGGAUACACAAAGUUUUGUUGCUACAUGUAUAUCUUUUGUUGAGGUUUUUGAUAUACACAGGUUAUGGAAGAGAUGUAUUAUGAGGACCAAAGGGGCAGCGAUAGCGAUAAGAGGCCAUUAUAUUAGGAUAGUUUUAGUAGAAGCCGUACUGGGUCACGGUUUAGAGAAAGUGGUUCCCAGGGUAGGUACCCUCUACAUCAGCCUUAUCAGUAUCAGGGUCAAUCUACUAGGCCAAUUUAUGUUGUACUUAAGAUUGUCGAUGGAGGCCAGUCUGGUUAUACUAAUCAUCCUAGCCAGAUUUAUGGUUAGCCUCUGAGGGGUUUAUCCUUGAGAUAUUCUAGCCGUGGUGGUUAUUUCGAAUCAGCCGGAUCUUUUGGUUUUAGUACAACACUUGGGGCGUAUUAUGGGGCAGUUAUUCCAGCAACUUAUAGUGUUCAGCAAAUUGGGGCAGUACUGACCCCAACUAGAGGUGGUAUGCAUGAUCGUUGGGGUAGUCCCUAGGGUACACAUGGAGGUCCUUAGAGAGGUAGGAUAAGAGAUCGGUCAAGAGCCCAGCCAGGUGGCGAGCGUGGUCAGUUGUAUGAUAUACUUGCUAUACGUAAGACAGAGUCUCCAGAUACUAUUAUUAUAUACAUGAUUUUAGUAUGCCACCAACUGACUUUUAAUUUAUUUGAUCUGAGAUCCAUUUAUUCUUAUGUGUCUGCUUACUAUGCCCUAUUAUUAGAGUUAUCUUGGGAUUCUUAAUCUGUGCCAUUAUGUGUAUCUACUCUUCUGGGUGAUUCUUUAAUAGUUGAUUAGGUUUAUAGAUCCUGUGUUGUGACUGAUCGAGAGUUUGAUACUUAGAUAUGGUGAAUUUUGAUGUGAUUCUGGGCAUGGAUUGGUUAUCCCCUAUUAUGUGGUCUUGAAUUAUUUUGACAAAACUGUUACCUUAGCCAUGCCUAGCAACCCCAGUUGUGUGGCAGAGAUCUAUUAGCCAUGGGUCCGUUGGGAUUAUUUCUUAUUUUCAGGCUAGGAGACUUAUUUUUAGGGGUUGUAAGUCUUGUCUCACUUAUAUUUGUGAUGUUAGUGUGGAGAGUCCCUCAAUUAACUCUUUUUCUAUAGUCCGUGAGUUUCCUAUUGUUUUCUCUAACGAGUACCUGGUCUUCCUAUUGAGCGUGAUAUUGAGUUUAUUAGUGAUCUUGAGCUUGGCACCCGACCUAUUUUUAUGGCACUUUAUUGUAUGUCUCCUAGCUAAAUUCUCAGCUUUGGUAUCUUCUAGAUAAGGAUUUCAUUAGAUUGAGUAUGUUGCCUUGGGUGCUCCUAUUUUGUUCAUGAAGAAGAAGGAUGGUUCCUUGUAUAUAUGUAUUGACUACAUGUAACUUAAUAAGGUAACAGUGAAGGAUAGGUAUCUUAUGCUUUGCAUUGAUGAUCUAUUUGACUAGCUUUAGGGAGUGGCAGUGUUCUCUAAGAUUUACUUGAGGUACAGUUACCAUCAGUUGAGGAUUUGGGCUGAGGAAAUCCCAAAGAUAGCCUUUAGGACUCAUUAUGGCCAUUAUGAGUUCCAAGUGACAUCUUUUGGGUUGACCAAUGCCCCAACAAUGUUCAUGGAUUUGAUGAAUUAUGUGUUCAGGCCUUUUUUGGAUUCCUAGUUGAUUGUGUCCAUCGAUGGCAUCCUUAUGUAUUCGAGGAGUAGAGAGAAGCAUAUGCAACAUUUGAGGAUUGUGAUCCAGACUUUGAGAGAUCAUAGACUUUCUGCCAACUUAUCUAAGUAUUAGUUCUGGCUUGAUUCAGUGACUUUCCUAGGACAUGUGGUUUCUAAGAUGGAAUUAUGGUGGACCCAACAAAGAUUGAGGCUAUUCGUGAUUGGGUCAGGCCUAAAUAUCCGCCUGAGGUUCAUAGUUUCAUUGGCUUGGUUGGUUACUAUAGGUGAUUCAUUGAGGCUUUUGCUACUGUUACAGCGCCAAUGACCAGAUUGACUCAGAUAGAGGUUUCUUUCUAGUGGUUCGAGGAGUGUGAGUUGAGAUUUUAAAAGCUCAAGGGAUUUGUCACUUUAGCUGCUAUAUUGUCUCUUAAGGGAUUCACUGUGAUGCUUUCAGUGUUGGUUUAGGUUUUGUGUUGAUGCAACAAGGUCAAGUUAUUACUUAUGUGUUGAGGCAGAUAAAGGUUCACGAGCUCAACUUCCCAUUAAUGAUUUGGAGUUGGCGGCGAUAGUUUUCACACUUUAGAUUUAGAGGCAUUAUCUUAAUGGUAUGCAUUGUGAGAUCUAUACGGAUCAUCAUAGUCUUCAACACCUUAUGACUCAAAGAGAGCUUAAUUCUAAGAAGCAUAGAUGGAUGAAGUUGCUUAAGGAUUAUGACAAAUCUAUUCUAUAUCAUCUAGGCAAAGCGAACCUGGUAGGGGAUGCCUUGAGCCAAAAGGCAGUAAGUAUGAGUAGCUUGUAUUGUAUCUCAGUUUCUCAGAGUCCGUUGGUGUGGAGCAUUCAGUCCUUAGCCAACUUGAUGGUGUGACUUGAUAUCUUUGUCCCCAGGAGGUUCUUGUUAGUACUGAGGCAAGGUGUACUUUAUUUGAGUAGAUUUGAAGUCUCCAGUUCGAGGAUGUGAGACUUUAUGUCAUCAUUGACUAGGUGUUGAGUGGUGUGUCCAAGAGGGAUACCAUAAAUUCAGAGGGUGUUCUAAGAUAUGAUCGCCACCUUUGUGUUUUGAGGGUUGGAGACUUGAUUUAGUCAAUAUUACGUGAGGAUUAUAUCUAUAGAUACUGUAUUCACCCUGGUACAACUAAGAUGUAUAAAGAUUUUAGGUAACACUAUUGCUGGAGUGGCAUGAAGAGAGAUGUGGCAGACUUUGUAGCUCAUUGCCUAUGUUGUUAGAAUAUUAAGGACAAGCAUUAGAGACUUGGUGGCUAGAAUCAAAUGUUGCUUAUUCUUGAGUUGAAGUGGGAGCAGAUCACCAUGGACUUUGUUAGUGGUCCACCUCAAACUUUCCAUGAUUUUGAUGGUAUUUGGGUUAUUGUAGAUUGGUUGACCAAGUCGGCAUACUUUAUUCCUAUUCAGAUGUCCUUUAGCACCGAGAGGUUAGCCCGUAUCUAUAUUCAUGCAAUAUUUUAUUCGAAUGGUGUGCCUAUAUCCGUCAUAUCAGAUUCGGUUCAGUAUUACUUCUAGCUUUUGGCAUGCUUUUUAAAAGGAGUUGGGUACUCAAAUAAAUCUUAGCACAACCUUCCAACCCCAGACCAAUGGGCAGUCAGAGUAGACUAUUCAGAUUCUUAAGGAUAUGCUCCAAGCCCGUGUUAUGGAUUUUGGAGGUAAGUGGGAGAAAAAUUUAGCAUUAGCAGAGUUUGCAUAUAAUGAUAGCUACUAUUUGAGUAUUUAGAUGACACCAUUAGAGGCUUUACAUGGUGGACAUAUCGUUCUUCGAUUGGAUAGUUUGAGACCUCCGAGAUUAGACCCCAUGGUACUUUCUUUGGGAGUCAUUGGAUAGAGUCAGGGUGAUUCAUGAUAGGUUGAAGGUAUCUCAGAGUAGGUAGAAGACUUAUGCAGACCGUAGACUUUAUUCCUUAAGAUUUGGAGUUGGUGAAUAGGUAUUCCUUCGUGUAUCACCCAUGAAGGGUGUGAUGAGAUUUGGGAAGAUGGAAAAGCUUAGCCCCAUAUAUAUUUUACCUUUUGAGAUCCUUCUCACAGUUAGAGAAGUGGUAUAUAAGUUAGCCUUACCCUUAGAUUUUGCUGUUGUUCAUCCAGUUUCUAUGUUUUUAUGUUGUGAUAGUGCAUUCCCGAUGAGAAUUAUGUGCUUCGAUGGGACUCAAUUUAGUUGGAUGAGUGAUUGAACUUUGUGAAGAAGCUUGAGUUCAUAUUAACUACGGAAGCCACUCGGUUGUGCUCUAGAGAGAUUCCAUUAGUUAAGGUCAGUGGAGACACCACCUAGUAGUGGAGGCUACCUGGGAGACCAAGAGUGAGAUGUGGGCCCAGUAUCCUUACCUGUACGAGGCUUUAGAAAUGAGUACUAGCUACUGCGUUAAUAUUGUGUUAGUGCCAUCGGAGUUUGGAGAUAUGGUGACCUUUUGAAGCCGAAGCUAACUUUUUAUCCUUCUUCUAUUUUGGAUGGUCUUUCUAUAUUGAUAAUAUUGUAUAUUUGACACUAAUAGCACUCUUAUUCUUUUGCUAGAGGCUCUUGUACCAACCUUACUAGGUCGUGGGAUAUUGUUACUCUUUUCCUUA